RNAcentral lists this ribosomal RNA (253 nucleotides) under uncultured bacterium. RNAcentral describes it as "partial 16S ribosomal RNA". It matches the Rfam family "Bacterial small subunit ribosomal RNA", at positions 524 to 776 of the family's 1533-position model. The record is from RNAcentral.
UACGUAGGGAGCGAGCGUUGCCCGGAAUUACUGGGCGUAAAGGGCGCGUAGGCGGGAACUUAAGUUAGAUGUGAAAACUCCGGGCUUAACCUGGAGACUGCAUUUAAAACUGGGUUUCUUGAGGGCAGGAGAGGAAAGUGGAAUUCCUAGUGUAGCGGUGAAAUGCGUAGAUAUUAGGAGGAACACCAGUGGCGAAGGCGACUUUCUGGACUGUACCUGACGCUGAGGCGCGAAAGCAUGGGGAGCGAACAGG